ACAAAUAUCAUGUCCUACCUGCUUGUCCGUCAACAGCGUUGGGUAAGAACAGGAAUUGAGGAGUACUAAAAGAGGAAGAGCAUGGAAAGACCUGCAAUCAGAAAAGCUGGAUUUAAGUGAGGAAGAGUGAAAGAUAAACCUAACCCAAUGCAUCUACAGAAGCUACUCCUUGAAGAGUUUCACAACUCCUCGAGUUUUUCAUUCUUCCUUUCCUUGAAAUCAGUCUAAAGCUCCUAUCAAAACUGGCUGUGACUACUGAUACAGGUUUGUCUUUCCUCCCCAAGCUGACUGGCUCUGCACCAAUGCAACUCAGAGACAAUGAGAUCUGCUGCAUUCAAACAAUUCCUAACAGCUGAAACUCUUCACUGAACAUGGUUCACAGUUACACACACCAGUAUCACUUCUCCAGGCAGAAAACAUAUUAGAUAAGGGAUAGCAUUAUCAACAGCAAAAUGGAAAGAAGAUACAUCAGAUACCAGCA
Molecule: long non-coding RNA, 481 nt
Filed under: Manacus vitellinus (golden-collared manakin)
Lineage: Eukaryota; Metazoa; Chordata; Aves; Passeriformes; Pipridae
Description: lncRNA (ENSMVIG00005004015.1)
Source: RNAcentral